This 74-nucleotide transfer RNA is filed under the name Candidatus Portiera aleyrodidarum (primary endosymbiont of Bemisia tabaci). RNAcentral's name for it is "tRNA-Val". It matches the Rfam family "tRNA". From Rfam's summary of the family: Transfer RNA (tRNA) molecules are approximately 80 nucleotides in length. Their secondary structure includes four short double-helical elements and three loops (D, anti-codon, and T loops). Further hydrogen bonds mediate the characteristic L-shaped molecular structure. tRNAs have two regions of fundamental functional importance: the anti-codon, which is responsible for specific mRNA codon recognition, and the 3' end, to which the tRNAs corresponding amino acid is attached (by aminoacyl-tRNA synthetases). tRNAs cope with the degeneracy of the genetic code in two manners: having more than one tRNA (with a specific anti-codon) for a particular amino acid; and 'wobble' base-pairing, i.e. permitting non-standard base-pairing at the 3rd anti-codon position. The record is from RNAcentral. Lineage: Bacteria; Pseudomonadati; Pseudomonadota; Gammaproteobacteria; Johnevansiales (SeqCode); Johnevansiaceae (SeqCode).
GGGUGGUUAGCUCAGUUGGUAGAGCAUCAGUAUUACAAGCUGAGGGUCGCAAGUUCGAAGCUUGCACUACCUAC